RNA transcript from Zingiber officinale, 1354 nucleotides. RefSeq lists it as uncharacterized. The transcript has 7 exons. The record is from RefSeq and is a predicted model, not a curated record. NCBI's taxonomy places the organism in Eukaryota, Viridiplantae, Streptophyta, Magnoliopsida, Zingiberales, Zingiberaceae.
AACCCUUUUCCCAACUCCUCAUCUCACGCGGCCUUCUCCAUCCAACUCCUCUCCGGCAAACUCCUCUCUAGCGAACCCCUCUCCGCGAACCCCUCCUCCAAUCUCCUAAUCUCCUCUCCGUCAAGACCGCGGGAUUAAUCUCUUCGCCUCCGUCGCCUCAUUCACGCUUCCUUCACACUGCCCAAUCUCUUUGAUUCGUGGGUUUAAUCUCUUACCCGUCCGAUAUCGAGCAGUUCUUCCUUUUGCUUCAACGGGCGAAGGCGAAAAGGUUUCCUUUUGAACUCUCCGGCGGAACCCGAGCAUCCCGCGAGAACGUUGCUUCGAUUCGUGGGUAUCCAGUCCGAUCUCCGGUUUCCGGCCUUCGUUCACGCAAGAAUUUAGAUCUCGCUUCUGGAUCCCUUCUGAACCUGUUCGGAUCGAUCCUUUUCUGGAGAUUUGCCUUCCAUUCUGGGUUUAGAAUCUGGUUGCUGCUUGCAUGGGAGAUGGUGGCGCCAUGGCUAUUGAAGUCAUGAAGAUUGAGCAAAGUUGUGUGGAGAACAAGCAACCAGGGGCUGCUUCGAGUUCAUCCAUGUCUGAAGGAAGUUAUGGGUUUUCUGGGAUGUCUCCGUCUGUUUGUAGCUCCUCGAGGUCUUCUCCAUCCCAUAGUGGCUUCUUAUCAAUCCUAGUGGCUAGUCGCUUGGAUGUAGAUGUUCCAGUUCUAAUCAACACAAUGACACUCUAAAAUGGAUAAGAACAAGAAGCCAGAGAAGGUGAGUGGAGAAAUCCGGUUGGCGGACUUCUCUUUGGGACUGCUGCACAACAGGGUUGCCGGAAGUGUCGUCGGUGCGCAGAGGGAGCACGCCGCGCUCAUGCAAGCCCAGAGGAAGUUUCAGAUCGCCCACUACAGGAGGACUCCGGCCAAGAUCGAGGAGUUGGCGGGUUCUAUUGAGUGUCCCGGCAUUGCCAUGAGCGCCUCCCAAGAAGAGAAGAAGUGCAGCUUCAUAACACCGAGUUCAGAUCCUGUGUAUGUUGUUUAUCAUGAUGAGGAAUGGGGAGUUCCAGUUCAUGAUGACAGGAUGUUGUUUGAGUUGCUUGUUCUAACAGGAGCUCAAGUGGGGAUGGACUAGACUACUAUACUGAAGAAGAGGAAUGAAUUCAGGGUGACAUUUGCUGAAUUUGAUGCAGAGUCUGUCUCCAAGUUCACAGAGAAGCAGAUGGUUUCCAUCAGUGUGGAACUGAAGCUGGAUUUAGGAAGAGUUAGAGGAAUAUCACUAUCUACUUUGAAACAGAAUUAGUGUUAAUUUUGAUAUUUACUAGCUUCUUAUGUAAUUAAAUACUAAUAUUACUUCAAUGUCAGAAUCCUAUUAUUUUGGUA